GACGAACGCUGGCGGCGUGCUUAACACAUGCAAGUCGAACGGAAAGGCCCUGCUUUUGUGGGGUGCUCGAGUGGCGAACGGGUGAGUAACACGUGAGUAACCUGCCCUUGACUUUGGGAUAACUUCAGGAAACUGGGGCUAAUACCGGAUAGGAGCUCCUGCUGCAUGGUGGGGGUUGGAAAGUUUCGGCGGUUGGGGAUGGACUCGCGGCUUAUCAGCUUGUUGGUGGGGUAGUGGCUUACCAAGGCUUUGACGGGUAGCCGGCCUGAGAGGGUGACCGGCCACAUUGGGACUGAGAUACGGCCCAGACUCCUACGGGAGGCAGCAGUGGGGAAUAUUGCACAAUGGGCGGAAGCCUGAUGCAGCAACGCCGCGUGCGGGAUGACGGCCUUCGGGUUGUAAACCGAUUUCGCCUGGGACGAAGCGUGAGUGACGGUAAUGGGUAAAGAAGCACCGGCUAAAUACGUG
This 468-nucleotide ribosomal RNA is filed under the name uncultured bacterium. RNAcentral describes it as "partial 16S ribosomal RNA". It matches the Rfam family "Bacterial small subunit ribosomal RNA", at positions 28 to 507 of the family's 1533-position model. The record is from RNAcentral.